GCAGGUGAGGGCAAACUCUGAGAUUUGACAUUCCACUGAUCACUGGUGUUGAUUUGGGUGAUCUGGCUGACUGGGCCAGAUCCUCUCUCAGUCUUCCAGGUGUGCCCAUCCUGAAGCUGCAUGCUAAGUUGAUGAGGAUGACCUUCGCAAUAAAGAUGAUAUUGUUCAUUGGUCAAGGGUAUAUGGUAGCUGUGCUACCCUGCUAGAACCUCCAAACAAUCUCAAGGUCCAUUUGUAGGAGAAUAUACAGCAGUCAAGCUUUCAUGACUGCACACACAUCCAAGUAAGGAGCUGCCUGCAGCAGUGUUUUUUUU
This 314-nucleotide small nuclear RNA is filed under the name Acanthisitta chloris (rifleman). Its description in RNAcentral is "7SK RNA". It matches the Rfam family "7SK RNA". From Rfam's summary of the family: 7SK was discovered as an abundant small nuclear RNA in the mid-70s but a possible function has only recently been suggested. Two independent studies have found that 7SK RNA binds the CDK9/cyclin T complex (known as elongation factor P-TEFb). Lineage: Eukaryota; Metazoa; Chordata; Aves; Passeriformes; Acanthisittidae. The record is from Rfam by way of RNAcentral.